GCUCCCUGAUGUUAGCGGCGGACGGGUGAGUAACACGUGGGUAACCUGCCUGUAAGACUGGGAUAACUCCGGGAAACCGGGGCUAAUACCGGAUGGUUGUCUGAACCGCAUGGUUCAGACAUAAAAGGUGGCUUCGGCUACCACUUACAGAUGGACCCGCGGCGCAUUAGCUAGUUGGUGAGGUAACGGCUCACCAAGGCGACGAUGCGUAGCCGACCUGAGAGGGUGAUCGGCCACACUGGGACUGAGACACGGCCCAGACUCCUACGGGAGGCAGCAGUAGGGAAUCUUCCGCAAUGGACGAAAGUCUGACGGAGCAACGCCGCGUGAGUGAUGAAGGUUUUCGGAUCGUAAAGCUCUGUUGUUAGGGAAGAACAAGUGCCGUUCAAAUAGGGCGGCACCUUGACGGUACCUAACCAGAAAGCCACGGCUAACUACGUGCCAGCAGCCGCGGUAAUACGUAGGUGGCAAGCGUUGUCCGGAAUUAUUGGGCGUAAAGGGCUCGCAGGCGGUUUCUUAAGUCUGAUGUGAAAGCCCCCGGCUCAACCGGGGAGGGUCAUUGGAAACUGGGGAACUUGAGUGCAGAAGAGGAGAGUGGAAUUCCACGUGUAGCGGUGAAAUGCGUAGAGAUGUGGAGGAACACCAGUGGCGAAGGCGACUCUCUGGUCUGUAACUGACGCUGAGGAGCGAAAGCGUGGGGAGCGAACAGGAUUAGAUACCCUGGUAGUCCACGCCGUAAACGAUGAGUGCUAAGUGUUAGGGGGUUUCCGCCCCUUAGUGCUGCAGCUAACGCAUUAAGCACUCCGCCUGGGGAGUACGGUCGCAAGACUGAAACUCAAAGGAAUUGACGGGGGCCCGCACAAGCGGUGGAGCAUGUGGUUUAAUUCGAAGCAACGCGAAGAACCUUACCAGGUCUUGACAUCCUCUGACAAUCCUAGAGAUAGGACGUCCCCUUCGGGGGCAGAAUGACAGGUGGUGCAUGGUUGUCGUCAGCUCAUGUCCUGAAAUGUUGGGUUAAGUCCCGCAACGAGCCCAACCCUGGAUCUUAGUUGCCAGCAUUCAAUUGGGCACUCUAAGGUGACUGCCGGUGACAAACCGGAAGAAGGUGGGGAUGACUUCAAAUCUUCAUGCCCCUUAAGAACUGGGGCUACCCACUUGCUACAAUGG
This 1167-nucleotide ribosomal RNA is filed under the name Bacillus sp. BKT. RNAcentral describes it as "bacterial SSU rRNA". It matches the Rfam family "Bacterial small subunit ribosomal RNA", at positions 81 to 1233 of the family's 1533-position model. The record is from RNAcentral. Lineage: Bacteria; Bacillati; Bacillota; Bacilli; Caryophanales; Bacillaceae.